AAUAGCUUGAAAGAAAAAAAAAAAAAAAUAGGAAGAAGAGAAAAUCAAAAAGGAAAACUUCAGCUUCAAUACUAAAGGCUUCCUUCAUUACUACCUCCCCUCUACCUAUUUCUACCUCUACCUGUCAUUAAA
RNAcentral lists this non-coding RNA (132 nucleotides) under Protocruzia adhaerens. Lineage: Eukaryota; Ciliophora; Spirotrichea. The record is from RNAcentral.